This 766-nucleotide small RNA is filed under the name uncultured Okeania sp. RNAcentral's name for it is "bacterial SSU rRNA". The stretch from base 1 to 323 matches the Rfam family "Bacterial small subunit ribosomal RNA", at positions 1213 to 1533 of the family's 1533-position model. Lineage: Bacteria; Bacillati; Cyanobacteriota; Cyanophyceae; Oscillatoriales; Microcoleaceae. The record is from RNAcentral.
GCUACACACGUACUACAAUGGUCUGGACAGAGGGUAGCCAACCCGCGAGGGCGAGCCAAUCUCAAAAACCAGGCCUCAGUUCAGAUUGCAGGCUGCAACUCGCCUGCAUGAAGGAGGAAUCGCUAGUAAUCGCAGGUCAGCAUACUGCGGUGAAUCCGUUCCCGGGCCUUGUACACACCGCCCGUCACACCAUGGAAGUUGGCCACGCCCGAAGUCAUUACUCUAACCCGUAUGGGAGGGGGAUGCCGAAGGCAGGGCUGAUGACUGGGGUGAAGUCGUAACAAGGUAGCCGUACCGGAAGGUGUGGCUGGAUCACCUCCUUUAAAGGGAGACCAACAAGAGCAGCAGGAAAAAAAGUAAAUACUGUUGUAUCUAGAAUCCCUGGUCGAGCAAGGAAGAAGAGUAGGUUUUAACUUUCAAACUAGAGUUAUGGUUCAAAUAUGGGCUAUUAGCUCAGGUGGUUAGAGCGCACCCCUGAUAAGGGUGAGGUCCCUGGUUCAAGUCCAGGAUAGCCCACCUAAGAAAGCCGGGGGGUAUAGCUCAGUUGGUAGAGCGCUGCCUUUGCAAGGCAGAAGUCAGCGGUUCGAGUCCGCUUACCUCCAGGAGAAAAACCAAGAACUCAGCAAUCAGACCUAAAAAAGUUAAGUCAGACUGCUGGGAAUCUACUUUCCAGUAAGAACCUAGAAAACUGCAUAGUCAAAGAAGUAAAAAGUAACUGAAAAGGAGUUAGAUGUGAUUAAACAUCUAACAAAGUCCAGUCAGGUAU